Molecule: ribosomal RNA, 240 nt
Filed under: uncultured bacterium
Lineage: Bacteria
Description: partial 16S ribosomal RNA
Rfam family: Bacterial small subunit ribosomal RNA
Source: RNAcentral
GAUCAUAGCUCAGGAUGAACGCUAGCUACAGGCUUAACACAUGCAAGUCGAGGGGAAACGACAUCGAAAGCUUGCUUUUGAUGGGUGUCGACCGGCGCACGGGUGAGUAACGCGUAUCCAACCUGCCCACCACUUGGGGAUAACCUUGCGAAAGUAAGACUAAUACCCAAUGACGUCUCUAGAAGACAUCUGAAAGAGAUUAAAGAUUUAUCGGUGAUGGAUGGGGAUGCGUCUGAUUAG